GCCCUCACCCCACACGAGCGCACACAUGCGCGCCACUCAAUAAGCGAUGCCUGCCCUUCGCUUCAUCAUCAUGGAGGAGAGGUAGGUCGUGAACACGCCCGCACACACAGACCGGACACAGCUGCUCGCGCUCGUAAAGGCGCCACGGGCGGGUUUCACACCCCAUGCAGCUCAUUGCGCACGUGUGUGUGUGUGUGCCUGGGCUUGUGCACGCUCGGUUUCGAAAGCCGGCCGCUGAUGUCUAUGCGGCGAUAAGCAUAUCGAACAUCUGCGGCAUGGCUCUCCCCGUUACCGCCAGGAACGUCGCUGCUGUGGGACCUCCUUCCACCCUAGCUUGUGGCAACGCAAAACCGGCCCACGCAGGCGCCAAGCGUGCUACGCCAAUCGACAAACCGGCCGAUCCAGCGGGGAGCCGACCAGGCUUACGGUGACCGACUCUGCGCCGUCCUGCGCCCCCUCCGCGGCCGCCACCAUUGCUUCCACCGCAUCCCUUGCCCCGUCAAAGGUGCCGGUGGCUCCUCCGACGUCUCCCAACGCGGCGGGUGACAGCGACGUCGCGCGAACCGAGCCCCUCACCGGAGAGCCUUCUGAAGCUCGGACGCAGUCAUGCUCUCUCGCGGUGGGCUCGGAAGCAUCCCUGUCCUCCACGCAUACAUACUGGCCUAGCGGCAGUCUUUCUUCCGCGACCCAGGGGUACAAACGCAAGUGUGCGCAUAAUCGCCGUCAUGGACGGCGUCAGAGAGGCCGCAGC
RNAcentral lists this unclassified non-coding RNA (751 nucleotides) under Leishmania donovani. RNAcentral's name for it is "gene:unknown". The record is from RNAcentral. Lineage: Eukaryota; Euglenozoa; Kinetoplastea; Trypanosomatida; Trypanosomatidae.